Molecule: non-coding RNA, 7292 nt
Filed under: Pan troglodytes (chimpanzee)
Lineage: Eukaryota; Metazoa; Chordata; Mammalia; Primates; Hominidae
Source: RNAcentral
GUGCUUGGCUACAGCCGCUGCUGCCUCUCGCGAACUGGGCUCCGGGGCUCCCGGCUCCCGAGAACUAGAAGAGAAACGCGAGCGAAGGGAUCGAAACCCAGGGGGUUACCGACUUGCAGACACCGCCAGGACAGUCUGUAACGCAGGAAGAUCCCAGUGGCUCCGGGUCUGGUGAGGGGACCAUGAGCAUGACUGAUAGCGAAUGAGGAAGGGCAGCCCUAAACUUUUCAAGCAAAGCCUCAGAGUUUUGGGUUCACUCAUUAGGAUAGGAAAUCGAUUCACCGAAAACCCAAACAAAGAAAAACAAGCCGACAGUCCAGGCAGGAUGCAGGCAAAUCCAGUUCGGGAUUAAGGGUAAAAGGCUUUUUGGGGUUUUUUUCCUUUGGUUUGAUUUUUUAAAAUAUGGGGAGGGGGGUGACAUCUACCCGAUUCUAGGCUCCGGCAGGAACGCAAUGGGUUAAUGAAUGGACAAGCCGCGGAGUAUUGAUCGGCUGCCGCCGGAGAAAGAAAGAAAAACAAAAACCAGACCGAACCUGCCUUCCCGCUGUGGCUGCUCGGCGCCCCAAUUAAGCAGGGUCAUCUCAGGCUGGCUGCACGCCUCAGCUGAAGAUCCCAGCUCCUGUCAAUGCCACCUCUCUGCUUGACUGUCUCCCUCCAGAUUCGAGCAGGUAUGAGCUGGGAAGAAUGAAGGCAGGGCAUGCCCGUGUGCCAGCUCUGCACAGCUGGAUAGAUGAGGAAAGAUGUGGAGGAGAAGCCGGGGAUUGUGUGGAAGUCUAAGGGUGUUGUUUGCCCUUUGGGUUCCAGAAUAUGCAUGCCAGGACCCUGGGUGGCACUGCCAGGAAGCAACAGAGAGGAGAUAAAACUCACAGCAGACGGACUUGCCUUAACAACAACUCCCUUGAAUUAAAACACGCUUUUCAAGAAAACAAAUUAUCAGUUCGAUCAGCAAACAGCAGAGAAGUUUCUCUCAUAAUGGCAAAGAAGGGCCGGGUUGCUGACCAGUGUAAGAGCUUCAGAAAAGGAGAGGGGAGAUGAGAUGGCCAGAAGGAGCAAGAGCACCGUACAUCCCUGGACAACCUCAUUCUAAUGGGUCAGGGGCUGGGACGUGCAUUUUGGAGUGCAGGAGAAGUGGCAACUCACAAAUGCUAGAUUUUCUUCUAGAGAUGACCAAGCUGUAGUUCUUAAAGCAGUGGCACUAGGGCAGAAAACUCUCACACUUUGAUGUGCACACACAGCCCCUGGGGAUCUUGUUGACAUGUAGAUUCUGAUUCCGUAAGUCGGGCUGAGAUUCUGCAUUUCCAACAAGCUCCUAGAUGAGGUCCAUUUUGCUGGUCCAUGAAACACACUUAGAAUAAGUAGCAAGGUAUAGGAGGAUACUGACUUUGCUCAGUGAUGCUUGGGCUUCCCUCCAGACUAAAAUAAAACAAAAGCAGACAUAAAUGGCCCAAUUCAACAGCCUGAGAAGUUUGGUGAUAAUGACCCAAGCCCUGGCCUGGUGACCAAGUGGCUGCUCAGAGAGCUCUAUCUCCAAACUCCUUCCCUUCCUGCCUCCCCUCCAAGAGUGAGUAAUGUGCCAGAGUUCACUGGGGUCUGCUGUCCCCAGGGAAAGGUGGCCCAGUUGCCAAGUGCAAGUGUAUAGAAUGGCUUACCUGUGCAAAGCUAUCAGCCCUGGACCUAUGGGCCUAGAAACAUUACUUGCCACUCACUCACUCACUAUCAUUCAUUCAUUUCUGCAACAAACACUUCCUGAGCAUAUGCUAUACACCAGGCCCUGAGCUCAGCUCUGGGGAUACAGGAUGAAUGGCAGAUUGUGCCAUCAGGAAGCCGACUGCACAGUCAGCCCGCUGGAGCACAUAUGAAAAACAAUACGGAUGUUUUGAUUUAUUAUCAUAUUGAUCAUUAUGAUGGUAGCGUAUACUUUUGGAAGGCUUGCCAUACAUUAGGCAUUGUGCUAAGCACAUUAUAUGGUUAAUCUCAUCAAUCUUCACAACAACCUAUGUGGCAGGUACUAUUAUUAAACCCACUUCAAAGAGGAGGGAACUGAACCUCAGAGAGGGUAAGUGACUUGCACAAGGACACAAGCUAGUGAGGAGAGGAACUGAGAGGAAUGGCCGCACAGGCCAUCAGCCUCUGUCCCCACAUGCUGGGUCUGAGUGUCUGACGGUGGACACGUUCCCUUCCUGGAGGGAGAGCUCCUAGGGAGCUGAUGGCAGCACUGAGUCUGGAAUGUGAUGGGAGUGCAUUAGAUGACGUGGGUGAUCUGAUGAGUACAGAGGCGUCACACUGCAAUGAAUUCAUGCACAUAUCUCCCCUGAAUGCACAGAGAUUCAGCAGAGGCCAGGAGCUCAAGUUUCUGGCCCAGUGUCCCCCUCUUCCCCUGGGGAAAGCCAGGGACACACUGCCUGGCUUUGCUACACCUUGCUAGGCAAAGGCAGUAUGCUCUCCCUCUCCUUGGCCUCCCUGGCUGUCCACACAUCCACACCCACUCACACACAUGCACAUGAUCAUACACAUUACACAAGCCCACAUGCCCACAGACAUGCUCACACUCACACUCACAUGCAUACACUGCCAUACACAACACACAUACAUACAUUCACACACACUUGCACACACACACACACUUCUGAUGGCCAAUCUUUUGGGGGUAUGUUGACACUGUGAAGCAGGUGAAACAAAGUCUUUGCCACUCCCUGCUUUGGGCCUAUUAUGUUUGUUUUAUAGUUUAACUCUCAAAAGACAACUUUAUUUUCCAAAAUUAUUCAGGUUCCCAGCCAGGUGCGGUGGCUCACACCUGUAAUCCCAGUACUUUGGGAGGCCAAGGCGGGCAGAUCACCUGAGGUCAGGAGUUUGAGACCAGCUUGGCCAACAUGGCGAAACCCAGUCUCUACUAAAAAUACAAAAAUUAGCCAGACAUGAUGGCACACACAUGUAAUCCCAGCUAUUCGGGAGGCUGAGGCAGGAGAAUCGCUUGAACCCAGGAGGCGGAGGUUGCAGUGGGCCAAGAUCGUGCCACUGCACUCCAGCCUGGGCAACAGAGCAAGACUCCAUCUCAAAAAACAAAAACAAAAUCAUUCAGGUUCCAUAGGGGACCCUCACUGUGUCCUGGAUUCCAUUCCACUUUUAAAGUCCCAAACAGCUUGUAUGGCCACUUCCCUUGACACCCAAACCAGAUAGGAGUCUUAAAUGACACAGAGUAUUGAUGGUUUCCUUAAAAGGAAAUCCACUCUCAAUGGGAAGCUGGAUAACUUCGCAUCCAGAUUUCAUCCAUCUUGGGCUUUGGUGGCUGCUGUUUGUUUUUUGUGCAGGAGAAUCUCUCCCAGCCAACGUCGAUUUCACUAACACAGUGGUUAACCUUUGCUCUCUACUCCUGCAUCAAUCUGCCACCUACCGCAUGUUGAGCCAUGCUGCUUGCUGGCAUUCCUUUUGGAUUUUCAGUUUACUACCCAACUACCAGUCCUAAUAACAUCAGAUAAAAGGGCUUCUGCUGUGCUGCACUUAUUUUCAAAAACUAUAAAUGCCGUCGACCCAGAGUUAAGUCCAGCCUCAGAGAGACAGAAUAUAAAUACCCAAGUGGCCCUGGGCCACUGAGUUCCUCAGACAUUAUGUGCUAUGGGAGUUCCAGAAAGGGGGAUUGCCUGAUUUUGAGUGCAGAAGGCUUCCUGGAGGAGGCGAGAUUUCUGCUUGGCCUCUGUUAUGAGCUAAAUUGAGUCCACCCCAAAAUUCAGAUGUUCAAAUCCUAACCUGUAGUACCUAAGCAUGUGGCCUUAUUUGGAAGCAGAAGCAUAGCAGAGGUAAUUCGUUAAGAUGAGGUCACAGUGGAAGAGGUUGGACCCCAAUCUGAUAUAACUCGUGUCCUUAUAAAAAGCAGAAAUUUGAAGACAGACACACAAGAAGAUGAAGGCAGAGACCCGGCUGAUGCGGCUAUAAGCCAAGGAACGCCAAAGAUUGCCAGCAAAGCACCAGCAGCCAGGGAGAGGCCUCGAACAAAUUCUCCCUCCCAGCAAAAAGGAGGAAGGAAGGAACCUCCAAAAGAAGCAGGCCGGGCACGGUGGCUCACGCCUGGAAUCCCAGUACUUUGGGAGGUUAAGGCAGGCGGAUCACUUGAGAUCAAGAGUUCAAGACCAGCCUGGCCAACAUGGUGAAACCUCAUCUCUACAGAAAAAUACAAAAAUUAGUCAGGUGUAGUGGUGUGCACCUGUAGUCCCAGUUACUCGGGAGGCUGAGGCAAGAGAAUUGCUUGAACCUGGGAGGCGGAGGUUGCAGUGAGCCAAGAUCGUGCCAUUGCACUCCUGCCUGGGUGACAGAGCAAGACUCCAUCUCAAAAAAACAAAAAAGAACCCUACUGACACCUGGAUUUCAGACUUCCAGCCUCCAGAACUGUGAGAUGUUACAUUUCUGUCAUUUAAACACCCAGUUUGUAGUACUUUGUUGCAACAGCUCUAGUGAGCUAACACAGCCUUGAAGGACAGGUAGGAAUUUGUAAUGCACAGAGAAAGCCAACUGGCCACAGUUGUUGAAAAUAAUAGAAUCGAAGCGCCCCUAUUACUACCACCCCAGGCCAUCACUUUCAAAGCUGUUCAAAAUGAUGCAGCCACGUGAAAAGGCCGGAGGGCCAGGGCGGGAGAUGGGCUCCAGGUGGGCCCAGGCUGCCUGUAGAGCCAGCUUGCCCCACUGCCUGGUUGCCAAGGAGCACCUGUGGCUAGGAGGAGCUGCCCAGGAAGAAAAUUUGGCCACAUCCCUGCCUGCCUCCCUGGCAAUAGGUGAUGCUCUCUGCCAGCUGGCCCAGCUCCCCCACCACAUACCUGGCUAGGAGUCAGUAGGAAAACAGUGUGUGUUUGUAGGGCUCUGCACUGAAGGGCAUUAGAUCCAUGCAAAGGCUAAUAAAUUAGAGAUAAGUGGGAUUUGUCGAUUUGCUGGAGGUUAGAGCUGCAGGAUCUGGCGUCAGCUCUGGGUCUUUUCCAUGGCCCCAGGCUGGCUCAGGUGUGAGCUGAAGAGGCAAAACUGUCUGUUUAGGUUGCAUUGGGUUCCCCUAAAAGAUCUGUUGAAGUCCUAACCUUGGGUACCUCUGUUUGUGCUAUUUGGAAACAGGCUCUUUGCAGAUGUAAUCAAGGAAAGAUGAGGCAACGCUGAUUUAGUCAGGCCCUAACCCAGUGACUGGUGUCUUCAUAAGACAAGGGAAAUCUGGACACAGACACACAAAGAGGAAAAAGCCAUUCAAAGACACAGAGACACACGUACACAGGGAGAACGCCAUGGGACAAUGCAGGCACAGAUCGGAGUGAUGCAGCUGCAAGCCAAGGAGCGCCAAGAUUGCCAGCAACCCCCUGGGGCUGCAAGAGGUGAGAAGGAGCCUCCCCUAGAGCCUUUGGAGGAAGCAUGCACUGCUGAUGCCUUGAUUCCAGAUUUCUGACCUCCAGAAGCAUGGGAGAACAGAUUUCCCUUGUUUGAAGGCACCCAGUCUGUGGUCCUUCAUCAUGGCAGCCCUCAGGAAUGGAUACAGGCCCUUCCCUGCCUGCCUGGUGGAGCAGCCUCCAAGGGGAGCCUUUGCUAGCAGGAAGAGGUACCACAUGGAGCUCAGACCCGCCUCAGAGGAACUUCUCUCAGCCUCCUCUCUCCGCACACCCGACCAAGGUGUGAAAUCCCUCCCCUUUACCUCUGCCAUUUGCAGGUGGCAGGAUGCUGGAGCUGUCCCUGCCUCUCUGUAAAGUGGGGGAAGGGCAGCCCUCUCUGCUCUACUUUUUUUUUUUUCUUUGAGACAGAGUCUCGCUCUGUCUCCCAGGCUGGAGUGCAAUAGCACGAUCUCGGCUCACUGCAACCUCCGCCUCCCAGGUUCAAGCGAUUCUCCUGCCUCAACCUCCUGAGUAGCUGGAAUUACAGGCACCUGCCACCACGCCCAACUAAUUUUGUAUUGUUAGUAGAGCCAGGGUUUCACCAUGUUGGCCAGGCUAGUCUCAAACUCCUGACCUCAGGUGAUCCACCUGCCUCGGCCUCCCAAAGUGCUGCGCUUACAGGCAUGAGCCACCACGCCCGGCCUGCUCCACUUCUAAGGCUUCUUGUGACAAUGUAAGAGAAAGGAGAUGACAGAGCUUUGCAACGGGAGGAGGGCUAUGUGUUCUGGUGACCAACUCACUGUCUUGUGUCAGGACAGGAAGAAGCCCUUCAUACGGGCAGCAGGCUGGGAGCCAGGGAGGAGGAAAGACCACGAUCCACUCCCUGGUACAUGGCCCUUCUGCACCCCACGGUCUCUUUCCAGGUGCCACAACGAGAAGGCACACAUCCUUGGCACAGCACUUGAGGCCUUUCACCACUGGCUGCACUCACCCCUCCAGACUCACUGCCUUGCACCAACCCUUUUCCGCCCACCCCGCUCUAUGCUAUCCACAGCCUCCACCCCAGCCACCUGAUUCUGCAGGCCAAUGUCACAUUCUUCCAGUCCAGGUUCUAUUCUGGCAUUUCUUGUCAUUAUUUUGCUGAGAAUGUGUCUCUCUUGACUUUGAACUUAUUGAGAGCAGGAAUCAUGACUCAGCCAUAUAUCCCAGCACUUGGCCCAGGGCCUGUCGUUCCCAGGGUAGGUGGUCUAGGUUGAUUGAAGGAAUGGCAUUUAGUCUUUAAAAUGAAAGCAUGUUGCCUAGCUUGGUUAUUUUUGAACUCUAUAAUCAAGGACUACGUUUACCUGAAUAGCCUCUGCAGAACACCAAUUCCGUAAAGUGCUUCACACACACACACCAGUUCUAUAAUUUAAUACGUUUUGGAAAGGCUACAUACUACUACAGCCUCUUACAGAUUAGCAAUGUCCAUGAGCGCACUAAAGGCUGAGACAUUCUGCAGUAAAGAAACCUAUUUCAUUUUGUUUAACCAAGUAUUUCUCAAAUUUAUUUGAUCAUAUGUGGCAGAAAAUGCUGUGUCUGGCAUUCUUCAUUUCCCUCUUCCUCCUUUAACAUGGAACUCCUGAUGUCUUUAGCUUGGCACAUCGCCACCCAGAAUAAAAACUACCUUUCCCAGCUUUUCCUGCAGCUAGGGGCAGCCCUGGGAUAAAUUCUGGACAAUGAAAUACAGGCAGAAGUAAAUCAUAUACGAUUUCCAUGAAGGGACCUUAAACAGAAGUGUGCCCUUCUCUUCCCCACACAUUCCUCCUCCUGUCUGAAAUGUAGAUGCAACUGCUGGCAUUUGAGCAGCCAUCUUGGGCCAUGUGGUAGCUUCUUAUGGAUGAUCUAGGACUAAUUCAGGGGUCUAGAUUUACCUCCAAACUUUGUUUAUCUACAAAAAAUAAAACUCUAUCUUCUUUAAGC